GCCCUGCUGGUCUAGUGGUAUGAUUCGUCCUUCGGGUAACUCCCAUUCUUCUCAAGAGAAUAUGGACGAGGUCCCCGGUUCAAUCCCGGGGUAGGGCC
Molecule: non-coding RNA, 98 nt
Organism: Truncatella angustata
Lineage: Eukaryota; Fungi; Ascomycota; Sordariomycetes; Amphisphaeriales; Sporocadaceae
Source: the annotation of a RefSeq genome assembly